CCUACGGGCGGCUGCAGUGGGGAAUAUUGCACAAUGGGCGCAAGCCUGAUGCAGCCAUGCCGCGUGUGUGAAGAAGGCCUUCGGGUUGUAAAGCACUUUCAGCGGGGAGGAAGGCGGUGAGGUUAAUAACCUCAUCGAUUGACGUUACCCGCAGAAGAAGCACCGGCUAACUCCGUGCCAGCAGCCGCAGUAAUACGGAGGGUGCAAGCGUUAAUCGGAUUACUGGGCGUAAAGCGCACGCAGGCGGUCUGUCAAGUCGGAUGUGAAAUCCCCGGGCUCAACCUGGGAACUGCAUUCGAAACUGGCAGGCUAGAGUCUUGUAGAGGGGGGUAGAAUUCCAGGUGUAGCGGUGAAAUGCGUAGAGAUCUGGAGGAAUACCGGUGGCGAAGGCGGCCCCCUGGACAAAGACUGACGCUCAGGUGCGAAAGCGUGGGGAGCAAACAGGAUUAGAUACCCCUGUAGUC
This 464-nucleotide ribosomal RNA is filed under the name uncultured Klebsiella sp. RNAcentral's name for it is "bacterial SSU rRNA". It matches the Rfam family "Bacterial small subunit ribosomal RNA", at positions 338 to 795 of the family's 1533-position model. Lineage: Bacteria; Pseudomonadati; Pseudomonadota; Gammaproteobacteria; Enterobacterales; Enterobacteriaceae. The record is from RNAcentral.